CCCUCCUGUGAGCUGACAGUGAGGAGCCCCGCAGCCCCCUGACGCGAGCAGGUGCAGCAGGGUGUGGUGUGCAGGCGCCUGCCCUGCACCGGGAGCCCAGGCGGCUCUGCGGCCUCCAGGGAGGCCCGGGGUCAGAGGCCACCGCGGGGCAGCUUCCCAGCAGGUGUCUCGCUGCCCUGCACAAAGCCCAACCACCUGCAGGGGGCGCCCGACACGCACGGCACAGAGGAGCUCCCACACAGCCGCACCGCUCCCAGACCACACGCACGCUCACGUAUGGACAGGUGUGCUCCGUGCACACUUACACACAGCCAGGCUCACACGCACACCCGGACCGUGCAGGAGCACCCACACCCAGCCGCUCACGCACAGCACAGCCCUGCGCGCGCUCACGCCUCACACCCGAACCCACUCACCCGCGAGCCCACACGGUCACACAGCCAUUUACACACGCGUUCAGGCACAUGCUCAGUCGUCCACGCACACAAUACGCUUGCACACAUCACACACAAUCACACGCGUGCACUCACACCAUUCUCCCCCCACACUCAUUUGCUCACAAUCACACAGUCCUGACAUGCAUGGUCGCACACACACACGUGUACUGCCCAUAACUCACUCUACUCCACAUGCACACACACUCGUACACAGGCAUACUCCUUCCCAUGCCUCACACGCACGCACACACUGGCCCCGUCCUCCUGGGAGUUGGCCACACCCCAGCCCAAGUGGGCAGGUGUCUCCCCCUGCACGAGCCGGCCUGGCCCUGCCACAGCGCCCGGCCCUGCCCUGAGUGGUGACUGCAGAGCCUGGGCAGGAGUGGCCAGCUGGGUGUCACCCCCACAGGCCCGCAGUCCGAGCAGGGGCCAGAGGAUGCGUCCCGGCAGGCAGCACGGAUGGGAGGGCCCCCUGCACCCCCUUCCCAGGCCCAGCCCAAGGACAGCCCACCUGGGGGCGCACACAUGUCCACACCGCGCGCGCACCGUUUCAAGCCACCCCUGUGCAAUCGGCAACAAUGAAGC
RNAcentral lists this long non-coding RNA (1022 nucleotides) under Oryctolagus cuniculus (rabbit). Its description in RNAcentral is "lncRNA (ENSOCUG00000037877.1)". The record is from RNAcentral. Lineage: Eukaryota; Metazoa; Chordata; Mammalia; Lagomorpha; Leporidae.